RNAcentral lists this long non-coding RNA (222 nucleotides) under Gallus gallus (chicken). RNAcentral describes it as "long non-coding RNA NONGGAT007284". The record is from RNAcentral. Lineage: Eukaryota; Metazoa; Chordata; Aves; Galliformes; Phasianidae.
GACAGACACUUAAAAGUGAGAGGAGACCCACGUUUUAAGCAGGCUCCUUUUUGUGCUGGGGAGGAGGACACAGAUGCUGCCUGGAUGUACUGGUGGACAGUUCACACCUGCCUCACUGAUUACUGUCUGGGGGAUUAUCCUAACCCUGCUCCAGUGGUCUUCGGUGCUGUUUUGAACUCAGGAUGGAGUUGAAGAAAAUUAGGAAGGUGAGAAGGGGAGGUG